UGGGGAAUUUUGGACAAUGGGCGAAGCCUGAUCCAGCAAUGCCGCGUGUGUGAAGAAGGCCUUCGGUUGUAAAGCACUUUUGUCCGGAAAGAAAUCCUUGGCUCUAAUACAGUCGGGGGAUGACGGUACCGGAAGAAUAAGCACCGGCUAACUACGUGCCAGCAGCCGCGGUAAUACGUAGGGUGCAAGCGUUAAUCGGAAUUACUGGGCGUAAAGCGUGCGCAGGCGGUUUGCUAAGACCGAUGUGAAAUCCCCGGGCUCAACCUGGGAACUGCAUUGGUGACUGGCAGGCUAGAGUAUGGCAGAGGGGGGUAGAAUUCCACGUGUAGCAGUGAAAUGCGUAGAGAUGUGGAGGAAUACCGAUGGCGAAGGCAGCCCCCUGGGCCAAUACUGACGCUCAUGCACGAAAGCGUGGGGAGCAAACAGGAUUAGAUACCCUGGUAGUCCACGCCCUAAACGAUGUCAACUAGUUGUUGGGGAUUCAUUUCCUUAGUAACGUAGCUAACGCGUGAAGUUGACCGCCUGGGGAGUACGGUCGCAAGAUUAAAACUCAAAGGAAUUGACGGGGU
RNAcentral lists this ribosomal RNA (569 nucleotides) under uncultured bacterium. RNAcentral's name for it is "partial 16S ribosomal RNA". It matches the Rfam family "Bacterial small subunit ribosomal RNA", at positions 355 to 919 of the family's 1533-position model. The record is from RNAcentral.